RNAcentral lists this transfer RNA (74 nucleotides) under Clostridioides difficile. RNAcentral describes it as "tRNA-Gly". It matches the Rfam family "tRNA". Rfam says of the family: Transfer RNA (tRNA) molecules are approximately 80 nucleotides in length. Their secondary structure includes four short double-helical elements and three loops (D, anti-codon, and T loops). The record is from RNAcentral. Lineage: Bacteria; Bacillati; Bacillota; Clostridia; Peptostreptococcales; Peptostreptococcaceae.
GCGGGUAUAGCUCAAUGGUAGAGUUCUGGCCUUCCAAGCCAGCUGUGAGGGUCCUAUCCCCUUCACCCGCUCCA